RNAcentral lists this small RNA (117 nucleotides) under Papio anubis (olive baboon). RNAcentral's name for it is "Metazoan signal recognition particle RNA (ENSPANG00000048154.1)". It matches the Rfam family "Metazoan signal recognition particle RNA". Rfam says of the family: The signal recognition particle (SRP) is a universally conserved ribonucleoprotein. It is involved in the co-translational targeting of proteins to membranes. The eukaryotic SRP consists of a 300-nucleotide 7S RNA and six proteins: SRPs 72, 68, 54, 19, 14, and 9. The record is from Rfam by way of RNAcentral. Lineage: Eukaryota; Metazoa; Chordata; Mammalia; Primates; Cercopithecidae.
GCUGGGCGUGGUGGCCCACGCCCGUAAUCCCAGCACUUUGGGAGGCCGAGGCAGGUGGAUCACCUGAGGUCAGGAGCUCAAGACCAGCCUGACCAACAUGGUGAAACCCUGUCUCUA